This 72-nucleotide transfer RNA is filed under the name Pangasianodon gigas (Mekong giant catfish). Its description in RNAcentral is "tRNA-Glu". It matches the Rfam family "tRNA". Rfam says of the family: Transfer RNA (tRNA) molecules are approximately 80 nucleotides in length. Their secondary structure includes four short double-helical elements and three loops (D, anti-codon, and T loops). The record is from RNAcentral. Lineage: Eukaryota; Metazoa; Chordata; Actinopteri; Siluriformes; Pangasiidae.
UGCCUGGAGGACUAGUGGUUAGGCUUCAGUGCUCUCACCGCUGUGGCCUGGGUUCAAUUCCUGGCCAGGGAA